Molecule: ribosomal RNA, 253 nt
Filed under: uncultured bacterium
Lineage: Bacteria
Description: partial 16S ribosomal RNA
Rfam family: Bacterial small subunit ribosomal RNA
Source: RNAcentral
UACGUAGGGGGCAAGCGUUAUCCGGAUUCACUGGGCGUAAAGGGAGCGCAGGCGGCACGGCAAGUCUGGUGUGAAAGCCCGGGGCCCAACCCCGGGACUGCAUUGGAAACUGCCGGGCUGGAGUGCCGGAGGGGUAAGCGGAAUUCCUGGUGUAGCGGUGAAAUGCGCAGAUAUCAGGAAGAACACCGGUGGCGGAGGCGGCUUACUGGACGGCAACUGACGCUGAGGCUCGAAAGCGUGGGGAGCAAACAGG